Molecule: long non-coding RNA, 840 nt
Filed under: Linum usitatissimum (flax)
Lineage: Eukaryota; Viridiplantae; Streptophyta; Magnoliopsida; Malpighiales; Linaceae
Description: long non-coding RNA (LUSI_LNC002259)
Source: RNAcentral
UGGAAAGCAAGCAAAAGGCAAAUGGGGAAAUCUAUCACCUUUUGUGUUCUUUUUGGCCAAUGUCAAGUUAGCACAUAUGCUCUCACCGCCCUGUGAAUGUACCAUUUUAUUUGGUACCAUAAACAUAUUGUCUUUACCAGUACUAUGAUCAAACGAUGGGGGGUUUUUACUUGAGACACACACAUCCACUGUCUAGCCAAAAAAAAUAAAAACAAAGUGAAGAGUAUAUGUGUAUAGACACCCAAAGUGAGAAGCUUAAUCGAAGAAGAAUCUUAUCUUUAUUCCCUUAGUUGUCCACAAUUGCUUCCUUCUUCAAUCACCCAUUGCAUGCAUUCUACUUGUCCACCAUACAUAUAUAUUGUUUAAAGCAUCUCUCCCUAACACAUCCCAAGUGUAAAUGUUUUGUCUCCCUUCACUUUAUCCAAUACAAACAGCCUCUGUCUCCAUUGGCUUUCAUCAACAAUAAACAAAAGGUACAGAAUGAGGCGUAGCUGCAAUGUCGUCCCUCGCCGCCUGCUUCUUCUGUAUUUCACUCUGGCUGCUGUUUCUUUAUGCUCUGUCUCCAGUAAGUAAACUUGAUGAUAUAUCAUCAUCCUCUCUGUUUGGUUAUUCUACUAUACGUAUGUUUUAAAUUCCCCUGAAUCAAUUGGAGCAGGUGGAAUGGGAUUGGCGGGAUUAUCUGUAGAAAAGGGCGGCAAACUUAGAAGCACGACCAGGUUCAACAUUGCUUCUUUGAUCCUCCAAAGAGAGACGAUGGUAAAUGCAGAGGAAGCAUCCAAUACGGCGCCGUACGUUGCUUCCCAUUUCUCGUUGACUCCUUACGACACCUUGUCCCCUCAG